UAGAGGCACUCAUUUUGGAUUUACCAUCCAGGUAGAGACAUGUUACACGCUAAAGACAUUACCUUUAGAGCAAAACAACUCAGAAUUCACGACGACGAGGCCAUGGAACUUAUAAAAUAAUAUCAUUUCCAAGCGCUUAAUGCACAGACCGGCACAAAGGGUAUAAAACCACAAGAAUCCAGAUAUCAUCCAUUCUCAUCGGCUACAACAUUAAGGUGAAUGUAGAUACGGAGAAUUUGGCAGUACGUCCAACCGGGUCUCACAACCUCAGACCACGUGUAACCAUUUCCAGCCCAGGACCUCCACAUCCGGCUUCUUCACCUGCGGGAUCAUCUGAGACCCCCCCACCCUGACAGCUGAUGAAACUGUGGGUUUGCACAACUGAAGAACUUCUGCACAAACGGUCAGAAACCGUCUCAGGGAAGCUCAUCUGCAUACUCGUCAUUCUCACCAGGGUCUUAACCAGACUGCAGUUUGGCGUUGUAACCGGCUUCAGUGGGUAAAUGCUCACCUCCGAUAGCAUGCUGGAGAUGUGUGCUCUUCACGGAAUAAAUCCCAGGCUCAACUGGCAGACAGAGUGUAUGGUGUUGUAUGGGUGAGCAGUUUGCUGAUGUCAAUGUUGUGAACAGAGUUCCCCAUGGUGCCGGUGGGGUUAUGGAAUGGGCAAGCAUAAGCUAUUGACAAGGAACACAAUUGUAUUUUAUUGGUGGCAAUUUGAAUGCACAGAGCUACUGUGACGAGAUCCUGUACUCUACAAAUGAAGGAUUCAACAAGGGUUCUUCUAAGAUCCUCAAAGUUCUUUGAAUAACCUAUUUCCAGUACUUGGCACAGAAAAUAGCCCCCCAAAAGGUUAUUCCAAGACCACCAUGGGAGGUGGGGCUCAUCGAGGAAUCUCUUUAGUUGGUGGGGUUUCUUGCAAGAACCUAACUGCCCAACUGAAACAUUUGGAUUUGAAUUUGAAAGGACAGCAGGUGCAGGCAAUUAACCGAAAAAAUGUAAAGAUCCCCUCAAUUAAAGGUUAAUAAAGUUAACAUGGACACGUACCACGCUGCAUUUUGGUCCGAUCCUUCAUACUCCUCAUCAGACGAGGACGAGAAUCGUUACAGAUACGGAGAACACUAACACCAACACGCCAGAGGAUAUACCCAUUAUACUUGGGGCUCUGCUGGGAGUUUCUCAUAUUUGGAUGUUUUAAUUCUGCUUUGCCACUAAAAUCAUAAUAAACACUGACAACUAAAA
Molecule: long non-coding RNA, 1239 nt
Organism: Oncorhynchus kisutch (coho salmon)
Lineage: Eukaryota; Metazoa; Chordata; Actinopteri; Salmoniformes; Salmonidae
Exons: 4
Source: RefSeq, a predicted model, not a curated record